RNAcentral lists this long non-coding RNA (1646 nucleotides) under Equus caballus (horse). RNAcentral's name for it is "lncRNA (ENSECAG00000030004.3)". The record is from RNAcentral. Lineage: Eukaryota; Metazoa; Chordata; Mammalia; Perissodactyla; Equidae.
GUCUGAUGCCCAGCUGACAUCUGGAGGACAGGAGUGCAGUGUGAAGAGGUGAAGGCAGGGAAACAAGUGGCCCGCCCGGGGCCUCGAGGCUGGGCUAGCAAAGCUGAGAAUAUCAGUCGCCCAUUCUCCCCUGGUCACCAGCCCUGAUUUGUCCUUGGAGCUUCAAAUAGUGUCUUUGAGAAGUGAUGCUGACAUCACCAUAGUUAGCGUUUGCUGAGAGCCAGACUCCGUGCUGGGGGACCAGGGUGGGGAGAGUGAUAAUUUGCAGACCAGUAUAUGAAAGAGCAUCUCACCUCAACACGGCAUUUACGGAAGGCCCAGGGAGUCAGAGCGGGUGGUGGGAGCCCAGGCCCCUGGGCAUCAGGCCAGGCUUCCCAAUGGGACGUUGAGACCUUGCAGGACUCGUGAAAACCUCGAAGCUGCCAUGACCUGCAAGAAUGCAACAAUGGUGGAAUUGCAGGCCUUUGCUGAACACAGUCUCGUUGAAUCCUCCCAGUGCUGCAAAGACAGGACUCAGUGCCAAUUCACAGAGGAGGAAAUGGAGGCUCAGAGAAUUAAUCAUCCACCUGAGCUCACACAACAGGGACUCAAAGCCUCACCAAGACUCCAAGCAUCGCUCUGGAGACUAUCAGACUCCAGGGGCCCAGCACAGAGCCAGGUCUGAACCAAGUCCUCUCGGCUGGAACCCCUGUUCUGCCCAGUUCAGGCAUCAGGUAGGUACCACGAGACUUGAAAUACCAGGAAGAGGAACGGGAAGCUGGCUGACAUCAGGUUUUCCGAGGGGCUUGUGGGUUUCUGUUAUCCCCCACUUUGAAAAGCCUGAUUGGGUUCAGGGUCAGAACCACCCUUUGCUCUAAGAGCAUUAAGCUGCUUCAGAGAAAAUGGCUUUGUUGGGUCUUUGGAAACCGUUCCUGAGAAAUGAUGGCGGCAGAUAAUGGACGUUCAGCAAACCUGUCUCUGACGCGCUGCUGGCUUUGGACGUGGUCCGAGAACUAGUGUGCUGUUGGUCUCCGGUUCCAGUCCCAGCUGGUCCUGGCUGCCCUGGGAAGAGUCAUCAUCCUGUGAGACUAACAACAACAACAGGGGAGCCUUCGCACGGCUCUGCAUGUGAUCGAGACCCACCACGUGCCAGGCCGCUGGGGCAUCUGUCCGCUGCCCCAUGAGGUAUUCCUCACCUGGAGACAGAGGCCGUCAGGUUGGGCCCUGCUCUCCCUCCAGCCACCACCCCAUGGCACCCCAGGAGCACUCUCCUGUGCUUGGGGAAGCCGCCAGCAGCCUCAGUUUCCCCAUCUGUGUGAGACGCUUGGCUCUUUGGACUCUGGAGACCCGCAGAGAGAAGCUCUCUCCCUGCUUGGCGGAGCCACGGACCUCAAAGGCUGGCCGCUGAAGGGCCCUGACAUCCUUGGGAACAAUGUCGCCUGUUUACCUGACAGAUUGUCUGCUUUCUUUUCAUCUCGGAGGAAAAGAGCUCCUGCUGGGAACCGCUAAUCCCAGGCUGGUGCCAAGGGCAGAGAAGUGCUUACUCAAUAAGCAGUUUGGUUGAUUUACUGUGACAUCUGGGCCAGCAACCAGAGAUGAAGAGAUAAAAGCCACUCCCUUGCCUUCCAGAGAGACGAGGAGAAUAAUAAUAGUAAUAAUAACAGUAU